UGCAAGUCGAACGCGGUCAGUAGCAAUACUGACUGAGUGGCGAACGGGUGAGUAACGCGUGGGUGACCUACCUUCGAGUGGGGGAUAACGUCCCGAAAGGGACGCUAAUACCGCAUGACAUCCUGCCUUUGAACAGGCGGAGAUCAAAGCCGGGGAUCGCAAGACCCGGCGCUUGAUGAGGGGCCCGCGUCUGAUUAGCUAGUUGGUGGGGUAACGGCUCACCAAGGCGACGAUCAGUAUCCGGCCUGAGAGGGCGGACGGACACACUGGGACUGAGACACGGCCCAGACUCCUACGGGAGGCAGCAGUGGGGAAUUGUUCACAAUGGGCGCAAGCCUGAUGACGCAACGCCGCGUGGAGGAUGAAGGUCUUCGGAUUGUAAACUCCUGUUGCUCGGGAAGAACAGCUUCGACCUAAUACGUCGGAGUCUGACGGUACCGGGUGAGGAAGCCCCGGCUAACUCUGUGCCAGCAGCCGCGGUAAUACAGAGGGGGCAAGCGUUGUUCGGAAUUACUGGGCGUAAAGGGCGCGUAGGUGGCCUGCUAAGUCGAACGUGAAAUCCCCGGGCUCAACCCGGGAACUGCGUCCGAUACUGGCAGGCUUGAAUUCGGGAGAGGGAUGUGGAAUUCCAGGUGUAGCGGUGAAAUGCGUAGAUAUCUGGAGGAACACCGGUGGCGAANGCGGCAUCCUGGACCGAGAUUGACGCUGAUGCGCGAAAGCCAGGGGAGCAAACGGGAUUAGAUACCCCGGUAGUCCUGGCCCUAAACGAUGAAUGCUUGGUGUGGCGGGUAUCGAUCCCUGCCGUGCCGAAGCUAACGCAUUAAGCAUUCCGCCUGGGGAGUACGGUCGCAAGGCUG
This 857-nucleotide ribosomal RNA is filed under the name uncultured Acidobacteriota bacterium. RNAcentral describes it as "bacterial SSU rRNA". It matches the Rfam family "Bacterial small subunit ribosomal RNA", at positions 56 to 896 of the family's 1533-position model. Lineage: Bacteria; Pseudomonadati; Acidobacteriota. The record is from RNAcentral.